UGGGGAAUAUUGGACAAUGGGGGGAACCCUGAUCCAGCCAUGCCGCGUGUGUGAAGAAGGCCUUAUGGUUGUAAAGCACUUUAAGCGAGGAGGAGGGUACUGGUAUUAAUACUACCAGGUACUGGACGUUACCGACAGAAUAAGCACCGGCUAACUCUGUGCCAGCAGCCGCGGUAAUACAGAGGGUGCAAGCGUUAAUCGGAAUUACUGGGCGUAAAGCGCGCGUAGGUGGUUCGUUAAGUUGAAUGUGAAAGCCCCGGGCUCAACCUGGGAACUGCAUCCAAAACUGGCGGGCUAGAGUAGGGCAGAGGGUGGUGGAAUUUCCUGUGUAGCGGUGAAAUGCGUAGAUAUAGGAAGGAACACCAGUGGCGAAGGCGACCACCUGGGCUCAUACUGACACUGGGGUGCGAAAGCGUGGGGAGCAAACAGG
RNAcentral lists this ribosomal RNA (430 nucleotides) under Pseudomonadota bacterium. RNAcentral describes it as "Proteobacteria bacterium partial 16S ribosomal RNA". It matches the Rfam family "Bacterial small subunit ribosomal RNA", at positions 355 to 776 of the family's 1533-position model. Lineage: Bacteria; Pseudomonadati; Pseudomonadota. The record is from RNAcentral.